UAUAGCUCAGUUGGUAGAGUGCUUGCCUCGCAUGCACAAGGCCCUAGGUUCAAUCCCUAGUGGAA
This 65-nucleotide transfer RNA is filed under the name Marmota monax (woodchuck). Its description in RNAcentral is "tRNA.Ala". It matches the Rfam family "tRNA", at positions 6 to 65 of the family's 71-position model. From Rfam's summary of the family: Transfer RNA (tRNA) molecules are approximately 80 nucleotides in length. Lineage: Eukaryota; Metazoa; Chordata; Mammalia; Rodentia; Sciuridae. The record is from RNAcentral.